RNAcentral lists this ribosomal RNA (466 nucleotides) under uncultured Campylobacterota bacterium. RNAcentral's name for it is "bacterial SSU rRNA". It matches the Rfam family "Bacterial small subunit ribosomal RNA", at positions 29 to 506 of the family's 1533-position model. The record is from RNAcentral. Lineage: Bacteria; Pseudomonadati; Campylobacterota.
AGUGAACGCUGGCGGCGUGCUUAACACAUGCAAGUCGAACGAGAAACGGAUUUAGCUUGCUAAAUUGCAGUCUAAGUGGCGCACGGGUGAGUAAUGGAUAGGUAACAUGCCUUCUACUAGGGGAUAACAGUUGGAAACGACUGCUAAUACCCUAUAUUCCUUAUUAGCACAAGUGUGUAAGGGAAAGAUUCAUUGGUAGAAGAUUGGCCUAUAUUGGAUCAGCUAGUUGGUAGUGUAAUGGACUACCAAGGCUAUGACGCAUAACUGGUUUGAGAGGAUGAUCAGUCACACUGGAACUGAGACACGGUCCAGACUCCUACGGGAGGCAGCAGUGGGGAAUAUUGCACAAUGGGCGAAAGCCUGAUGCAGCAACGCCGCGUGGAGGAUGACACAUUUCGGUGCGUAAACUCCUUUUAUAUGGGAAGAUAAUGACGGUACCAUAUGAAUAAGCACCGGCUAACUCCGU